CAGUUACAGAAAUUAAAGAUCUGCUGGCAUUGUCUGGGUCUUUUUCAUUCCUCAGAGUGUUACAAGUGGAAGGUUUAACAUUAGUGGUUGGUAAUAUGCUCUACUGCAUAUAUAUUCUAAUAUCAGAUAUAUGAGGACUGGCUCCUUAUGGGUGCACACCCUAUAGCUCGCUGGGAAGUCCUGUGCUUUGCCUUGUGCUGCUACCUCAGGGUAGCAUGGGCUGCAACAGUAAGUACAGAGGCAAUUGUUACAGCUUUAUGAUUUUGUAAGGAGGGCUGUGUAUUACUCUGCCUGGGGAGAACCAGCCAAGGUAAAGUGUAGGUGCUGGCAACGUGCAAGGCCAGGGGCACAAGUGGUUGUGCAACAGAUUUACCUUUCUCAAUACAAUGCAAGCAGGGAACUAGGAAAAAAGGAGAGAUGCUGUGGGCACUCUACUUCUAGGUAAGAAUACCUACCUGUGCUCAGGUGUGAGCAGGCACCAAGAAUAAAAUGCCAGGAAACAUACCUGAAGCCCAGCUUUCUAUCAACAACAGGCCAGAGUUUACCUAUUUUCCAGUUGUUUCUGAAAUUCCUCUGUCUGGGAAGACUGCAGUUACAUGGAUGCUUAAUUCUGCCUUAGUAGGUAAUGACAAAAUUCUGCCUAUACAAUACAAUCCUUUAGUUUUCAAAAACUCAGCUUUAAAGUAAUCUAUGUAACAAAAGAUAAAGAAAUUCUGUGCCUCAGGGCUGUAUCUAUAAUACCCACACUCAGAGCCGUUACACCACCCAACCAAUCUCCACUGCAGUCUGUGCAAUUAUAACAUAGAAAAUAAAUAUGCUGGCCAUGCUAGGAAAGGAACCCUUGAACUCCAAAGGAACAAUGCCUCAAAGUGAAACAGACCACUAUCCAUAACAUAAGGACCAACCCUUGCAGUUGCUCUUAAAACCAUUGCUAAUAUGAAAAGGAGUAAAACCGGUACAGUAGAGGUCCCAUUUAUACUAUUGGAAAAUGUACCAGGCCCAACAACUCAGACUCAAAUGAACAGGGUUAGUUGAAAGCAGGAACUAGGUCUGCAAAUAAAAAAGCCUUGUUUCUUCAUUCAAGCCCAAAACAAAGCUCAACUCACGUACCGCACGGUACAACCCCAGGCUCAGCCACCACCUCAUCCACGGUCAGAUCUGUUUCCCCUUUCUCCAGGAACGGGACAGCAUUUUGGGAAGGAAGAUAGGACACCCCCUGCCUUGGGGCAGGGACGUUUGAGCAUCGAUAUUUUAUUGCAAAGACUAAUUACAUUGCUGUGUACAAGUCACACUGGGCAGUGUGCUCCUUCAUUGAAGUGGUACAAAAUACAUAUGGUACAGCCAGUCCCUCCGGUGAUGCUGAGCUGCCGAGGGAAAAAGGCAGGAGGGGAAGGAAGGGGACGGUGACAGCGGGGUGGGCAGGAGCUGGCAGGCACAGAGCGGCACGGGGCCGAGGGGAGGCCCUGGGGUGCUGGUACCAGGCUCCAGGCAGGGAGGGGGGGGAAACAGGAGGCAGGCUCUGCGUCAGGGUGCCAGCGGCUCCCAUCAUGUGCAGCGUGGGCACGGUGGGCCAGGCCGUGCCACCCUAAGGGGACACGGGGCUGGCAGAGCUGGUGCCAGCCCCGCUGGUCAAGAAGCAAGCAGCCUCUCCCCGCCCGGUGCCAUGGGUCCCUACAGGUCCCACCACCACCUCCUGCCACCAGCCCUGGUCCCCCAAGCAUGAGAGCGCAGCGUUGCUGCAGCCCAGGCCCCUCUCCUGGAGCCGGGGAACGCGUGGCCCCUGCCCGGCAGCACGGACAGACAGGGAGGAGAGGGUGGGGUGGGAGGAAGUGCUUAAAUGAGAUGGCCCAGCAGGUCCAGGAGCAAAGAAAACAUAAAAAAAAUAAUAAAAAAAAAAGUUUUAAAAAGAAAAAAAUCCCCCCUUUGGUUAGUGUUUCCUACAGUCAAUAAAAGAAGCAUCUCUGCCCCUGCUCGAUCAACUAGUGGGAAAGAAACAAGGGAGAGAGGGAGGCCAGAGCGGUCUGUGCCUCAGAGCGUGACAGCGCAAGGCUGCUGCUUCCAGCAGCCCAAAACAGCAGGGGGGAGAGGAGAGGGACUGGGCUGCAGGGCAGGGGGAGGCUGGGUUAGUAAAAUGUACAAGUUCAUCUUUUCUAUUUACAACCAAUAAAUAUUGAAAAAAAAAAAAAAAAGUAAACAUUUUCGUUUUAUACAAAAGAAGUCUCAUUGCUGCUUCUCCCAUGGUCAGUGUUUGAAAAAGUCUGGUUAAAGCCCAAGGUGAGUGGCACUUUCUGGGGGGCAGGUGGCGGCACCGGGGUACUCAGAGCACCCCGAGCUCUGUCUCGCCUCCUCGCCCACCUGCGCAGACCCAGGGUCUCUAUUUACACAGAUUUGGACAGAAAUUCACUCUCCUCUUCCUCGCUAGGCUGGCAGCUCUGGGGGCACGGGGAGGCGCUCAAAGCUUCCCCCGCCUGCAGAAGAGACACUGGCGUUUGAUCUUUGGUGCAGGUUUGAACGCGGGCUGGCGAAGUCCAGCUGCAUCGGGGAGAGGAGCGAGACCACGCGAAGGCUUCCAGUCAUCGAGAGCACGAGGCGCCCGCUCCAUCGCGGCACGCACGCAGCCCUUCCCGGGGCUCCCAGCACCGGCACGGGGCUGAAUCCUUUCCAGCGUGCCUCCUCGUCCACGGCUUCUCCCAGGAUAAGGACGUGGAGGUAAAACCAACGCUGGGAAGCUCCCGGAGCAGCUUCCUUGCAAACGGCCCCUCUGCAGGCCUCCGCUCCCCGGCUCGCGCGGACACAAGGCACCUACGGCAGAGAGGCGGGCUCCUGCUCUGGGCAGGCCGGUGGCUGGACGAGUGGCGCACCGUGGAAGGUUUGAAAAAUAAAAAUAAUAAAACAGA
Non-coding RNA from Anas platyrhynchos (mallard), 2897 nucleotides. Lineage: Eukaryota; Metazoa; Chordata; Aves; Anseriformes; Anatidae. The record is from RefSeq and is a predicted model, not a curated record.